RNAcentral lists this ribosomal RNA (464 nucleotides) under uncultured bacterium. Its description in RNAcentral is "bacterial SSU rRNA". It matches the Rfam family "Bacterial small subunit ribosomal RNA", at positions 917 to 1382 of the family's 1533-position model. The record is from RNAcentral.
GGACCCGCACAAGCGGUGGAGCAUGUGGUUUAAUUCGAAGCAACGCGAAGAACCUUACCUGGUCUUGACAUCCCUCUGACAGGAGUUUAAUCAUUCCCUUCCUUCGGGACAGAGGAGACAGGUGGUGCAUGGUUGUCGUCAGCUCGUGUCGUGAGAUGUUGGGUUAAGUCCCGCAACGAGCGCAACCCUUAUCUUUAGUAGCCAGCAGUAAGAUGGGCACUCUAGAGAGACUGCCGGGGAUAACCCGGAGGAAGGUGGGGAUGACGUCAAAUCAUCAUGCCCCUUAUGACCAGGGCUACACACGUGCUACAAUGGCGUAAACAAAGGGAAGCGAUAGGGUGACCUGGAGCAAAUCCCAAAAAUAACGUCUCAGUUCGGAUUGUAGUCUGCAACUCGACUACAUGAAGCUGGAAUCGCUAGUAAUCGCGAAUCAGAAUGUCGCGGUGAAUACGUUCCCGGGUCUU